GAUUAGUUUUGUAAGCAGCUGCUAACUGUUUUUUAGGUGUGGUUAUGAGUCG
RNAcentral lists this transfer RNA (52 nucleotides) under Pholcus phalangioides (longbodied cellar spider). RNAcentral's name for it is "tRNA-Ser". RNAcentral also lists the same sequence under 1 other name. The record is from RNAcentral. Lineage: Eukaryota; Metazoa; Arthropoda; Arachnida; Araneae; Pholcidae.